RNAcentral lists this ribosomal RNA (497 nucleotides) under uncultured bacterium. RNAcentral's name for it is "partial 16S ribosomal RNA". It matches the Rfam family "Bacterial small subunit ribosomal RNA", at positions 28 to 507 of the family's 1533-position model. The record is from RNAcentral.
GAUGAACGCUGGCGGCGUGCCUAAUACAUGCAAGUCGAGCGAACAGACGAGGAGCUUGCUCCUCUGACGUUAGCGGCGGACGGGUGAGUAACACGUGGAUAACCUACCUAUAAGACUGGGAUAACUUCGGGAAACCGGAGCUAAUACCGGAUAAUAUAUUGAACCGCAUGGUUCAAUAGUGAAAGACGGCUUUGCUGUCACUUAUAGAUGGAUCCGCGUCGGAUUAGCUAGUUGGUAAGGUAACGGCUUACCAAGGCAACGAUGCGUAGCCGACCUGAGAGGGUGAUCGGCCACACUGGAACUGAGACACGGUCCAGACUCCUACGGGAGGCAGCAGUAGGGAAUCUUCCGCAAUGGGCGAAAGCCUGACGGAGCAACGCCGCGUGAGUGAUGAAGGUCUUCGGAUCGUAAAACUCUGUUAUUAGGGAAGAACAAAUGUGUAAGUAACUAUGCACGUCUUGACGGUACCUAAUCAGAAAGCCACGGCUAACUACGUG